CCUACGGGAGGCAGCAGUGGGGAAUCUUGCACAAUGGAGGNAACUCUGAUGCAGCGCACGCCGCGUGAGCGAUGAAGCCUUUCGGGGUGUAAAGCUCUUUCGGCAGGAACGAUAAUGACGGUACCUGCAGAANAAGCUGCGGCUAACUNCGUGCCAGCAGCCGCGGUAAU
RNAcentral lists this ribosomal RNA (170 nucleotides) under uncultured bacterium. Its description in RNAcentral is "partial 16S rRNA". It matches the Rfam family "Bacterial small subunit ribosomal RNA", at positions 338 to 524 of the family's 1533-position model. The record is from RNAcentral.